Molecule: transfer RNA, 90 nt
Filed under: Caudoviricetes sp.
Lineage: Duplodnaviria; Heunggongvirae; Uroviricota; Caudoviricetes
Description: tRNA-Ser
Rfam family: tRNA
About the family: Transfer RNA (tRNA) molecules are approximately 80 nucleotides in length.
Source: RNAcentral
GGAAGGUUGCCUGAGUUGGCCUAAAGGCGCUCCCUGCUAAGGAGAUGGUCGUCGAAAGUCGGCACAAGAGUUCGAAUCUCUUACCUUCCG